GUGCUCACGUUGGCAGCACAUAUACUAAAAUUGGAAUGAUACAGAGAUUAGCAUGGCCCCUGUGCAAGGAUGACAUGCACAUUUGUGAAGCAAAAGUAAAACAU
Molecule: small nuclear RNA, 104 nt
Filed under: Mandrillus leucophaeus (drill)
Lineage: Eukaryota; Metazoa; Chordata; Mammalia; Primates; Cercopithecidae
Source: RNAcentral